Molecule: ribosomal RNA, 432 nt
Filed under: uncultured bacterium
Lineage: Bacteria
Description: partial 16S ribosomal RNA
Rfam family: Bacterial small subunit ribosomal RNA
Source: RNAcentral
AACGAACGCUGGCGGCAUGCCUAACACAUGCAAGUCGAACGAGACCUUCGGGUCUAGUGGCGCACGGGUGCGUAACGCGUGGGAAUCUACCCUCAGGUUCGGAAUAACUCAGAGAAAUUUGAGCUAAUACCGGAUGAUGACGUAAGUCCAAGAAUUAUUGCCAUAGGAUGAGCCCGCUUAGGAUUAGGUAGUUGGUGAGGCAAAGGCCCACCAAGCCGACGAUUCUUAGCUGGUCUGAGAGGAAGAUCCGCCACACUGGGACUGGGACACGGCCCGGACUCCUCCGGGAGGCACCAGUGGGGAAUAUUGGACAAUGGCCUAAAGCAUGAUCCAGCACUGCCGGGUGAGUGAUGAAGGCCUUGGGGUUGUAAAGCUCUUUUACCCGGGCUGAUAAUGACAGUACCGGGAGAAUAAGCUCCGGCUAACUCCGUG